This 659-nucleotide long non-coding RNA is filed under the name Sus scrofa (pig). RNAcentral's name for it is "lncRNA (ENSSSCG00015053609.1)". The record is from RNAcentral. Lineage: Eukaryota; Metazoa; Chordata; Mammalia; Artiodactyla; Suidae.
GAGGGGGUAGGAAGGAGGGGAGGGAGGGGGAGAGUUGGGAUUCUCUCUCACUCACUCUCUCGUUCUCUUUUCUUAAAGGGGCCGCGCGGGACGACGGGGUGGGCGCGCGGGCCCAGACGGGGACUUCGAGGGCGCGGGCUGGGACGUCAUUUUUUCAUUGCGAAGACCAAAUGCGCGGAACGUGAGCGGUCAUUUCGAGGGGCCGCACCUGGGGACGGAGCCCAAGCCCCCGCUCUGUUUGAAGAAUAGCCGCGUCUGUUUGCCACACUUCCGCGCCCUCGUUUUUUCGCCACCCUCCUCCUCUUCCUUCCCGCCGAGGGUGAUGAGAACUACAGGACUGAUUGCCUGAACUCCUGGGCCUUUCAUCCAAAACCCGAACCAAAGAGGGUUGAGGUCUUCUCAGGAGGCAGUUGGAAGGGGCAUGUUUGUUGGCAGUGUUUGAGGAAUUGUGGCAAGCAGAAGCGGUCACAGAACAACGGAUAGAAGCGAGUGUACUGCAGAAAGGGGGGAAAAUGGAUUCCAUAGACCACAAACGGGUAAGCCUGGUGAUAUUCCUUAGACUAACUCGAAAUAAUAAUACUGUAUUAUGUCUUUAAUGCCCAUUUCGCGUGCUAGGAGCUAAGGAAGCAGAAAUAAAGAUGCAGUCUUGUCCGAAUUCA